ACCAAAGUCUCAACUCCAAAACACGUUUAGAAGCCAAAAAUAAUCACUCUUCAAACCAUGGUCUGAGAAGACUUCUUCGUCGCGCCGAAAAUCGCCUCCAAUGGCGGCAGAGUGCCCAACACAAUAAUUCAAACAUCAAUGAACUCGUUUCAAUCUCCUCGGCAUGAAUUCACCAUCAGUUCGCUUCAAUUCAUAGUCAAACGUCCAAACCGAAACAAAUUUCACAAGAACCCUAACCUUAAGUUUCAAAUUUAAACCCUAAAUAAAUGGAAUCAAAGCCCAUUUUGUUGGGGUUGCGAUUCCCCAUGCCUUAAACUAUAUACUGGUAACCCGAAUUAGGGAAAAUGAAGGAGAAGACAACCUACCUUUGAACACUGGUAUGCAUUGAAGUCUGAGGUGCAACAAAGAAGACAACGAAGAUGAUGAUGCAUGUAUUUUAUUUGGCUCUGAGUCUUCUUUCCUUCCUUUUCUUCUUCUUCUUCUUGCUUUUUAUGAGUGCUUGUGUUGAGAUUGAUGAGAGUGAGUUGGAUGAGAGAUUUGAUGUUCUAUUGAUUCAGGAUGAUGAUGAAGUGAUAUGGUGAUGAGAGAUUGCAGAGAGUGAAUGAGAUUGAGCAGUGAGAGAUUUUUGGGGAAUUAUUGGGUGAUUAUUGUGUGAGCCCUAAUCAGUGAUUGGUAAAGGAGAUUUAUAGAGUUUUCGAAGGCUAACUCUAUCAAAUAUGUUAAGAAAUCACAGUGCAAAGUUUGUGAAAAGUUAGUUAGGAUCAAAAUUUGUUAGAGUCAGUUAGUCAGGGAUUCUUUUAUUAACUCUGUUAGUGAAGUUAUGGUUAGUUGAGUUUCAUUACUAUGGUUAGUUUGGAAAUUAGUUACUGUUAAAGUUAGUUUGGAUUUAGUUUGGAGUUAGUUAUUGUUAACUGAAAAUGAAUAAUUAUGAGGUUGUGUAAAAUCUUUUAAAGUUAGUUGCAGGCUUAUGUUAAGAUUGUUAGUUGAAAGUUAGUAAGUGGUUAGUUAUGAAGUUAGAAAAAUUCGGUUAAAAAUUAGUUAGUCAAUGAAUGUUAAAGAAAAUUGUUAUGAAGGUUAGUUUAUUAUAGUGUUAAAGUGCAGUUAGUUUAUAGUUCGGAAAUUAUGUUAAGGAAGUUAGCCUGAGUUAGUUCUGUUAAUAGUUGCAAUUAGUUUAGAAAUGAGUAUUUUGUUAAAUUUCUAACUGAUAUGCUGCUGCUCAAUGCUUGGAAUUUGGUUAUUAUUAUUAUUAUUAUCAUUUCUGUUGUCAUGUAUAAGGUCUAGUGUGACAGUAGGAAAAUAUGAUUUCAAAUGUGUUGUAUGUGAAUCUUGUCAUCAAAUUGGUUGAAGAUGUGAUGUAUGAUGAUGAUUUAUUGAAUUUGAAUGUAAUAAAUUGUGUACUUUGAAUUAGAUGCAAUGCAAUGCUACUAGGGAUGAUUUGCUAUAUGAAUUUGAAGGGCUUGUAUAGUCAGAUGGGACACUUCCAUAUUGAAAUUUGAAUGCAAGGUCAAACUAACUGAAGACAACCCUGCCCCUGGUUAAGAUUGAUGGUUUUAUGUGCAGAAAGAAACUCCUAAUCUAAGGCCGAAAGGGUUGACUAGGGAUUAUCUUCCUCAUGCCUCUGGUGUUUAAGGAUAUUAAAUAAUGCCUUACAUCGUUAGAAAGUUUAUCGACUUUGUAGAAUCUGACUGAGCCUGAGGAGGUUGUUGACAUUGGGCUACAACAGCAUACGAGAACGGGUAGUAUAACAUGGGAGCCAUAGGUGCUUGGAACUGAGAGGGAAUUUGAGGAGUAAUAACAUGUUGCAACAUCUGAGUAGAGUAUAUCAGGCAAGGAUUUCCAAUUUGUGUGCCUGGGUUGGCAACAUGAGCAUAUUAGACCCCAUAAAGAGCAUAGGGUGCCCUAGAAUAAGAAUGUGUAGGUACAACAUCGACAGAAGGUGCCCAAGGAUAGGUAAAAGGAAUUCCAGAGUAAUAACGUUGAUACUGAUACUGUGGAGCUAUCUAGAAAACUGAAGCAGGAAUUUGAACGUGAUUGGGAGGACCCAUUAAUUUAGGCUCAUUCUCAAAAAGUGCCUUAGCAGUCACAAGUGUGAAUCAUAUCAACUUUUAAUCGAUCAGCUCUUGGAAUUUUUUCUUGAAAACAUAAUAAGCCUUUGUAGAA
Molecule: long non-coding RNA, 2160 nt
Organism: Lathyrus oleraceus (garden pea)
Lineage: Eukaryota; Viridiplantae; Streptophyta; Magnoliopsida; Fabales; Fabaceae
Exons: 2
Source: RefSeq, a predicted model, not a curated record